This 408-nucleotide ribosomal RNA is filed under the name uncultured bacterium. RNAcentral describes it as "partial 16S ribosomal RNA". It matches the Rfam family "Bacterial small subunit ribosomal RNA", at positions 28 to 526 of the family's 1533-position model. The record is from RNAcentral.
GACGAACGCUGGCGGCGUGCUUAACACAUGCAAGUCGAACGAAGUGGCGAACGGGUGAGUAACGCGUAAUCAACCUGCCCUUCAGAGGGGGACAACAGUUGGAAACGACUGCUAAUCCCGCAUACUGAAGGAGGGGAUUGCGUCUGAUUAGCUAGUUGGGGGGGUAACGGCCCACCAAGGCGAGGAUCAGUAGCCGGUCUGGAAGGAUGAACGGCCGCAAUGGGACUGAGAAACGGCCCAGACUCCUACGGGAGGCAGCAAUGGGGAAUCUUUCGAAAUGGACGAAAGUCUGACGGAGCAACGCCGCGUGAGUGAUGACGGCCUUCGGGUUGGAAAGCUCUGUUAAUCGGGACGCGGUACCGGAAUAGAAAGCCACGGCUAACUACGUGCCAGCAGCCGCGGUAAUUC